This is an RNA transcript of Haliotis rubra (blacklip abalone), 2296 nucleotides long. It is a transcript of the gene named multiple epidermal growth factor-like domains protein 6, with no coding region annotated. The transcript is spliced from 4 exons. NCBI's taxonomy places the organism in Eukaryota, Metazoa, Mollusca, Gastropoda, Lepetellida, Haliotidae. The record is from RefSeq and is a predicted model, not a curated record.
GCAACAAGGUUAAUACCUAAGUUUACACAGGGUGCAACAAGGUUAAUACCUAAGUUUACACAGGGUGCAACAAGGUUAAUACCUAAGUUUACACAGGGUGCAACAAGGCUCUGUUUUCUUACAUCAAGCCCUGGAUAUGUUCUGUUUAAUAGACAACGAAUCUGACAAUACUCAACACUCAGAGCAUUAAAUAUUGCCAGUAAAGAUCAAUAGUGAAAUUCAGGGGAAUGAUGAUCAUGGCUCAGUUGUAAUGUAAUGUGCAGUACAUUUUGGUUUCCUUUCACAGUUCACAGUUCACAGUUCAGAGCAGUCGUUCACCAGACGACAUGACUACAAGCAUCGUUUUGUUAGGGAAGCCAUGUCACAAUAUCAAUGUAUUGGUAAAUUGUUAAUGUGGAUGAUUUGUCAAUACCAAUGUAUGAAUGUCAAUACUUCAGUAAAUAGUCACUGCCAUGAAAUGUUUAAUAUAUUUAGAUUUUGGCCCCAGUAGCAUCAGGCUAUGUUACUGACUGUUACAGGCUGACUCAGUUGCUAUGCUACGUACAGACUGUGAAAAGAAAUAAUGAUAUAAACACCUUCCUUGAAGAGAACCUAAUCAAUAGUGGGUUUCUCAAAGUAUGUGUGAACUGAAUAGUGAGAAGAAUUGUGAUGAUGCAAGUUUUGUAAUGUUUUGUCAAUGUUACAAGUUAUUGCCCCUUGUAAUAAUAGUAUUAUCAGAUUUGUACAUAGUAUAUUAACAUCAAGACUGUUAUGACUGUGUUCAGUUGACAUGUCUUACAUUAUAAGUCAAGCAAGGUAUAGUUCAUCCUGACAGUUGUACAGACGUUGUAGAGGGAUGGUGUUCAGUGAGGCCCUGGCCAGUGUCACCAGAGUUGCCCUUACGAGAAAUAGUUUCUUUUAAAAAAAGGUUCACAUGAACUUUGAAGAUAUUGCUGAAGUUUUGAGGUUAUUCUUUUGAGUCUGAAGACACUUGCUACUCAUUGUUUUCACCAGGUGAAUAUUGUUGUGUUCAAGAACGUUGACUUUAGUAGGCGGGGUGAGGUGUGAGAGCUGGCACUUGUGCCAUGAGUUGAGAUGCUGCUGCUGCUGCAGGGGUAACUGUGUAACUCUGUGCUGCUCCCUACACACGGAGGGAUCUUGGCUUGCUGCACAGAGCUAAGUACCAUGGAUGUUUCCUAAGAUCGCUCGAAAUUUGUAUUGUACUUCAUAUGCAUGCAUCAUGACCUUAUGGCAAAUUGAACAUACUUCAUUUUGUAAAACAUUUGCCUUAAAAUAUAAAUGUGCAUAUUAUGAAUUGAUCACCAGUAUAUUUACUAAUCAAGUUAGAAUUCAGACCAGCAAGGGUCAUUGGGCCCAAAAAUUGGUGUCUAUUUGAUGAUUCCAUUUUGAUGGAGACAUCUCUGGGGCAAUUUUCAUGGUGCAAGUUGUGUUGCAGUAUUCGUGGCUCACAAUUGAUGUACUUCAUGUGGGGUUGUUAGUGCAGAAUGAUAAGAAUUUGGAAUCUCUUUAAGGUGUAUUGAGGAACAGCCAAAAGGCUGUAAGUAGUGACAGAUCCGAGUCAGGGAGCAGCACAGGGUACUGCAGCUACCUGCUGUGGCUGGGUGGAGGCGAGAUUUAUGUCAUGGGUGUGUGUUGAGUACAUGUUUAAGAUUUCUGGGUUUGUUUUGACUGUUGACCAGCUGUAGGUGUGAAUAGUUCAGCUCUCUGCGUGUGUUCACUGGCUCUCUGCAAGGUGUGCAUAUUGACAGACUGUCUACAAGGAUAUGUGUGUGUUCACUGUCUUUCUGCCAAGUGUGUAACUUCACUGGGUCUCGGCCAGAUGAACAGCUGUCUGCCAGGUGCGGGUGUUCACAGGCUGUCUGCCAGGUGCGUAUGUUCACAGGCUGUCUGCCAGGUGCAGGUGUUCACAGGCUGUCUGCCAGGUGCGUGUGUUCACAGGCUGUAUGCCAGGUGUGUGUGUUCACACGUCUGCCAGGUGUGUGUGUUCAUAGGCUGUAUGCCAGGUGCGGGUGUUCACAGGCUGUCUGCCAGGUGCCGAUGUUCACAGGCUGUCUGCCAGGUGCAUGUGUUCACAGGCUGUCUGCCAGGUGCGUGUUUUUACGGGCUGUCUGCCAGGUGCGGGUGUUCACGGGCUGUCUGCCAGGUGCGGGUGUUCACAGGCUGUCUGCCAGGUGCGGGUGUUCACAGGCUGUCUGCCAGGUGCCGAUGUUCACAGGCUGUCUGCCAGGUGCAUGUGUUCACAGGCUGUCUGCCAGGUGCGGGUUUUUACGGGCUGUCUGCCAGGUGCGGGUGUUCA